This 447-nucleotide transfer RNA is filed under the name uncultured Gammaproteobacteria bacterium. RNAcentral's name for it is "partial 16S-23S ribosomal RNA intergenic spacer". The stretch from base 75 to 148 matches the Rfam family "tRNA". The record is from RNAcentral. Lineage: Bacteria; Pseudomonadati; Pseudomonadota; Gammaproteobacteria.
CCUCCUUAAAGAGAUCAUCGGAAUUAUCAGGUGAGUGCUCACGCGUAAAAACUAAUUAUUUGUAAAAGGCAUCUGGGUCUGUAGCUCAGUUGGUUAGAGCGCACCCCUGAUAAGGGUGAGGUCGGUGGUUCAAAUCCACCCAGACCCACCAGUUUUGGGUUGCUCUGAUUGAGUCUGGUCGGGAAUUGGGGCUAUAGCUCAGCUGGGAGAGCGCCUGCCUUGCACGCAGGAGGUCAGCGGUUCGAUCCCGCUUAGCUCCACCAUUAUUCGAUAAUGGGGCGCUGGGACUAAUCGAGAGAGAGAAAUCAGAACUAAGCGAUUCGAGUGAAUAGUUUAGUUCUGGUUUUUUACUGGACGGCAUCGGGGACGACCCAUGUCGUAGAUCUUUUAACAAGUUAAUUUGAGUCUGUAGUUGUUCAUUGGAAGAAUGAAAGAAUCUGUCCUUAA